Molecule: long non-coding RNA, 300 nt
Filed under: Felis catus (domestic cat)
Lineage: Eukaryota; Metazoa; Chordata; Mammalia; Carnivora; Felidae
Description: lncRNA (ENSFCAG00000051638.1)
Source: RNAcentral
AUGAUUUGCGUGACAUAUGAAACGCAGUCGCACAUCAACAAGCAGCCGGGCUUCGGGGACGUGGCCAUGGCCUCUGUGGUGCUGGUGCUGCUGAUGGCGACUGAGAGGAACCGGAGGGGAGCGCCCCCCGAGCCCGCGGCUGCCGCCGAGGUUGGGUUGUUUUCUGCCUUAAUGUCAAUCGAUAUGUUGGAAGUUAUCAAAAAGUUCAUGAGAAAUCCAUUUCAACUUCUAAUGAAGAAGGAAGAAUUGAUCCUUGAAAGGACCAGUAUUUUAUAAUAUUUUUGAAAGAGGAAUUGGCAG